GGAUUACCUUCCUUCUCCUCCAUUUCAUUUGAUCUUCAUCCCAUAUCCAGAUGAGUUACGAGUGACACAGCCGGCCAGUCGCUUUCUACAGUGUCAACUGCACUUGAAAUGCGCUGUCAUCCUGUUCAUUACUGUGCAUCAUCCUCAUCAUCCAUCACCAUCAGAAUCAUCCUCAUCAUCCUCAUCGUCAUCAUAAUCAUAGUCAUCACCAUGAUACCUCCAUUAAAACACAUCGAGUAUGGCCUGUUAAGGCUUAAAACGAUCUUUUGAGUUCGCUCGCGUCACGCUCCUGAAUCCAUUUACGCUCAGAAUUCCCAUCAAUAUACUAAUUUUCCGGCUCCAUGGGCCCAUUAUUCACAUUAUCUCAGGUAUAAAACACAGUCCUGCAUUAGGCAACUUGAGCAAACCUCGUCCUAAACUUAACACGCAUAUGGUUGAGCAUCGUCCAUGGAUCACAAACAACCGCUACCACUGGUUUCUUGACGCCUGGUCGCGUCUCUACACAGUUGAGAGCACCCCUAGGAAUUCGGGACACGUGCAUCAAGGGUGACCAACCGUCGGACGCACAUUAUCAAGCACUGGACAUGGUUUGACCAACAGACAACUCGAGUAAAUUUGUGGCAAUCUAAAAUCACUAACUAGUCACACAGAUGUUAUAUAACCCCUCGCUCACAAUUUAGGUUCCAUUGGGUAGUAAGGGACAAGGUUUUUGCGAUGUGCGGAAAAACACCGAAGAUAAAUAUUUUGAUAGGGUUGUCAUACAUUGAACCACCAGGAUCGUGAUCAAGAUUAACUAGAUAUUAGUUACGGACAAAGCCCUGAGAUAUCACUAAUUAAUGGAGUUUCAAUGAGGAUUACUCUUAGCAUUAAGUGAUGCAAAGAGUUGUUCCGGCGGAGAAUUAAAAACCAUGUUCAACCUUUUGAAUCCCGCGUUUCAACUGUAUGCUCGCAGGUGGAACUUGAGCGAUGGCUUAUAUAUGGGCUUCUCCACUGAGGACUAACUUCCCCAAGGAACGGAGGCUAGGCGGCAAAAAAGCGUUUAUGGUGAUAAUUUGACAUAAUAUUACUUAGGCUUGUUGAGGACCAAUCCGUCGUGACCAGGUUCUGAAAUCAUCAGCACUGGAAAUCGUGCAUCGAAGCUACGUGAGGGUUGAAUCUAGAGGGAAUUUAGAAGCCGCCAGUGCGGCGGAGAGAAAACCGGACACCACAAACUAAGCAGACAUAUCCUCUGCCAGCCUGGAAGGGACUUGAUGAGGCAGGCCCUAUUUUCCAUCAUCGGGAACGGUGGAGCCGGCAAUGUUUCUUUUUAGCCAGCAUUAUAUAUAUAUAUACAUUACGCAGACACAUCAAUUCUAUUUUCCAGCGCGC
Molecule: small RNA, 1368 nt
Filed under: Histoplasma capsulatum var. duboisii H88
Lineage: Eukaryota; Fungi; Ascomycota; Eurotiomycetes; Onygenales; Ajellomycetaceae
Description: Histoplasma capsulatum H88 hypothetical RNA
Source: RNAcentral